UUCACUGUUGUGCAUUACAUUAUUGUGUUACAUUACUGUGCAUUACAUGUUUUUCUUUGUUUUAUUUUGGAGGGGGUAUUCAUUUCUAUAAUAGUACAGAGAAUAGGAGUUCAAAACAAAAAGCCACGAAAGGUGGCUUAAAAGUGUAUGAAGCUUGGAAUUCUACAUUCCAUCCCCUAAAGCGCUACCAGUAGUAAAAGAUUCCUAAUUGUCUUUUUUAGAAGCUAGCUGCCAGAUACAUAGUCCCAUUAGGAGAGUAUGUUAUUUUUUCUUCUUUGGUCUGACUUGUUUUGUUGAAUGUUCUCCUUGUUCAGAAUUUGUUUUCUUGCCACCUCAUGCAAUACUCCAACUGGAGCCUAUGAGCUAUGUGUAUAAUAAAUAAGUAAAUUCCUAAAGCAUGCAACAAACCAUGCAGCAUAGCAUUUAAAUGUUGCCAGUUUAUAAUGCUUCUUGAGUGCAGCGCAUCAUGGAGCUUGAGGCUGAUCUCUUCAGAUGUAAAACAAAUUGCAGGGUAUGAAAAUGUGGUCCUACAAACUGCUGGUUACGCAUGUCAGUCAGCCUGUUGCAGUGGUCACAAGUGAGAAUGUAACCAGAAGCUGGGCGUGCUCGGCCAUUUUGCAUAUGGCACAGGAUAAAGCUUCACCUCUGCCAUUGCUUCUCUUAUAGUAAUGGCCUCCGAGUAUACAUGCCGAGUUAUGCUUCUGGGGACACCUAUUAGUUAACCUUAUCAGGUAAUACCAUUAGCCUUAUGGGUGCUAUAAUGUUGCAGUGCCUGCAGGAUGGCCAGCAUUACAACACAUUAAAAUUAUUGUACAAGUCAUGCAAUGGUAUCGGGAUUGGCCCACCAAGUGACAACCUUUAAUUACACUAUACCUGGGAUCAGCUCACUCAGUCAGGGAGACAUCCAUGCAUAAGGGGAGGGGUAUGGCAAAUAGAGGGCGUUCGAUUAAUCUUUCUCACAUAGAUAGCUGAUACAUAUAAUCUUUCUUAAAUUGGAUGCUUUGUUGCUCAAAGUGAAGUUACUUAUGGGCAUAAUGUCAGCAUUUCGAUCCUAUUUAUGCUUAACGAAAGUUGCUUUGUUCAGUGUCACUUUUUAUAUUGUUUCGCUUGUGAUUCUAAGCUCACUUGUUUUAUAGCUGCUGUAGGUAUGGCUGGACCUGGAGAAGAAGUGUAAGCAGACCAUGCUAUGUUGCUGAUCUGCGCUGAUCUCCACAUCCAAGUUGGUCCCGCGACAGUUGGGCACCAUUGUGCCUUGCUUCAUUGACAAGGUGAUAUAAUAUGGUGCCCUGCUCGCUCUCACCCAAGCAACCCACUCCUGCGGUCUUUUUUCGGCAGACUGGAUGCAUCGAAAUACCGUUAGAAGGUCCAAUAAACAGUGCUUGGGACAUUUA
This 1391-nucleotide long non-coding RNA is filed under the name Dermacentor andersoni. Its description in RNAcentral is "uncharacterized LOC126544516". The record is from RNAcentral. Lineage: Eukaryota; Metazoa; Arthropoda; Arachnida; Ixodida; Ixodidae.